AACUUUCAACAACGGAUCUCUUGGCUCUCGCAUCGAUGAAGAACGCAGCGAAAUGCGAUAAGUAAUGUGAAUUGCAGAAUUCAGUGAAUCAUCGAAUCUUUGAACGCACCUUGCGCCCUUUGGUAUUCCGAAGGGCACACCUGUUUGAGUGUCGUGAAAUU
This 161-nucleotide ribosomal RNA is filed under the name basidiomycete sp. HK-S239. Its description in RNAcentral is "5.8S ribosomal RNA". It matches the Rfam family "5.8S ribosomal RNA". Rfam says of the family: 5.8S ribosomal RNA (5.8S rRNA) is a component of the large subunit of the eukaryotic ribosome. It is transcribed by RNA polymerase I as part of the 45S precursor that also contains 18S and 28S rRNA. Functionally, it is thought that 5.8S rRNA may be involved in ribosome translocation. RNAcentral also lists the same sequence under 1 other name. Lineage: Eukaryota; Fungi; Basidiomycota. The record is from RNAcentral.